CGGGCAGUAGCUCAUUGGUAGAGCUCAGGCUUCGUAUGCGGAGAGACCUGGGUUCGAUUCUCGGCUGCUUGC
RNAcentral lists this transfer RNA (72 nucleotides) under Toxocara canis (dog roundworm). It matches the Rfam family "tRNA". Rfam says of the family: Transfer RNA (tRNA) molecules are approximately 80 nucleotides in length. Their secondary structure includes four short double-helical elements and three loops (D, anti-codon, and T loops). Further hydrogen bonds mediate the characteristic L-shaped molecular structure. tRNAs have two regions of fundamental functional importance: the anti-codon, which is responsible for specific mRNA codon recognition, and the 3' end, to which the tRNAs corresponding amino acid is attached (by aminoacyl-tRNA synthetases). tRNAs cope with the degeneracy of the genetic code in two manners: having more than one tRNA (with a specific anti-codon) for a particular amino acid; and 'wobble' base-pairing, i.e. permitting non-standard base-pairing at the 3rd anti-codon position. The record is from Rfam by way of RNAcentral. Lineage: Eukaryota; Metazoa; Nematoda; Chromadorea; Rhabditida; Toxocaridae.